This 66-nucleotide transfer RNA is filed under the name Peloridium hammoniorum. RNAcentral describes it as "tRNA-Val". The record is from RNAcentral. Lineage: Eukaryota; Metazoa; Arthropoda; Insecta; Hemiptera; Peloridiidae.
CAAAUUAAAGUUGUUUAUCAAUUUAUUUUUUACAUAAAUAAGGAUCUAUUAAAUUAGAUAAUUUGA